RNAcentral lists this ribosomal RNA (468 nucleotides) under uncultured bacterium. RNAcentral describes it as "partial 16S ribosomal RNA". It matches the Rfam family "Bacterial small subunit ribosomal RNA", at positions 28 to 507 of the family's 1533-position model. The record is from RNAcentral.
GACGAACGCUGGCGGCGUGCUUAACACAUGCAAGUCGAACGGAAAGGCCCUGCUUUUGUGGGGUGCUCGAGUGGCGAACGGGUGAGUAACACGUGAGUCACCUGCCCUUGACUUUGGGAUAACUUCAGGAAACUGGGGCUACUACCGGAUAUGAGCUCCUGCUGCAUGGUGGGGGUUGGAAAGUUUCGGCGGUUGGGGAUGGACUCGCGGCUUAUCAGCUUGUUGGUGGGGUAGUGGCUUACCAAGGCUUUGACGGGUAGCCGGCCUGAGAGGGUGACCGGCCACAUUGGGACUGAGAUACGGCCCAGACGCCUACGGGAGGCAGCAGUGGGGAAUAUUGCACAAUGGGCGGAAGCCUGAUGCAGCAACGCCGCGUGCGGGAUGACGGCCUUCGGGUGGUAAACCGCUUUCGCCUGUGACGAAGCGGGAGUGACGGUAAUGGGUAAAGAAGCACCGGCUAACUACGUG